This 404-nucleotide unclassified non-coding RNA is filed under the name soil metagenome. RNAcentral's name for it is "partial contains 5.8S ribosomal RNA, internal transcribed spacer 2, and large subunit ribosomal RNA". The stretch from base 1 to 122 matches the Rfam family "5.8S ribosomal RNA", at positions 35 to 154 of the family's 154-position model. The record is from RNAcentral.
GAUGAAGAACAUAGCAAAAUGCGAUACUUGGUGUGAAUUGCAGAAUCCCGUGAACCAUCGAGUUUUUGAACGCAAGUUGCGCCCGAAGCCUUUUGGCCGAGGGCACGUCUGCCUGGGCGUCACGCAUCGCGUCGCCCCCCACAAUUCUCCGUAAAAGGAACAUGUGUUUUGGGGGCGGAUAUUGGUCUCCCGUGCUCAUGGCGUGGUUGGCCGAAAUAGGAGUCCUUUCGAUGGACGCACGAACUAGUGGUGGUCGUAAAAACCCUCGUCUUUUGUUUCGUGCUGUUGCUCGCAAGGUAAACUCUUUAAAAACCCCAAUGUGUCGUCUCUUGACGACGCUUCGACCGCGACCCCAGGUCAGGCGGGACUACCCGCUGAGUUUAAGCAUAUCAAUAAGCGGAGGA